Molecule: long non-coding RNA, 2679 nt
Filed under: Gossypium barbadense (sea-island cotton)
Lineage: Eukaryota; Viridiplantae; Streptophyta; Magnoliopsida; Malvales; Malvaceae
Description: long non-coding RNA (GBAR_LNC016491)
Source: RNAcentral
UUUUACUGCGAUUUGACAAUAUGGAACACAUUAAUAUAUUGCAGUAAUGGCCCGUCUGCCUUUAAUUGCACAAAGUGUGAGGCGUAAAAGAAUUGGUAUUGCAGUGACAAUAUGGUUGGAAAUCUGUAGAAUUGCGAUUUGGUUCUUAUUUAGAAUGGGUGCCAGCCUUAGCCUACAUACUUAUAGACCAAUGAUUAGGUCCUAUACCUUAGAUUUUUAUGCAAAACGGGAUUAUGUGAAAAGACUUGUAUAUGCUAGUGACGAGACCUGUAUUGAACAAACUAGGAUGAAUAGAACUGCCUUUUUUAAACUAUGUGAGAUGUUAGAAUCGUUAGGGGGAUUGAAGUCGUCAAGAAACAUGCUUGUUGAUGAGCAAGUGGCAAUGUUUUUACAUAUCAUCUCCCAUCACCUUAAAAAUUGAGUUAUCAAGCAUCACUUUAAAAGGUCCGGGGAAACUGUUAGCAGAGCAUUUCAUAGUGUUUUAAAUGCUGUCAUACGCUUAGAAGAUGUCUUAUUUAAAAAGCCGGAGCCAAUUACAGCCGAUUCUUCUGACACAAGGUGGAAAUGGUUUAAGGUAGUAGACUGAGUUUUAUAUAUAGCUUGUACAACAUUUAGUUGACUUAGAUUUAAAUUAGUAUUCUAACAGAAGGUUUUAUAUCAUGUGAUAUAGAAUUGCUUAGGUGCUCUUGAUGGAACCCACAUAAAGAUUAGGGUGCCAACAGUUGAUAAACCUAGAUAUCGAACCCGAAAAGGUGACAUAGCAACAAAUAUGCUAGGUGUUUGUACACCUGAGAUGCAAUUUGUUUAUGUUCUUCCUGGUUGGGAAGGUUCAGUUGCCGAUGGACGGGUGCUCCGAGAUGCCAUUAGUAGAAGACAUGGACUAAAAGUUCCUCAUGGUACAGUGUAUACUUAGAGGAAUUUGAAUUAUUCAUUAAGAUCAAACUUUGUUUGCUGAAUUAAUCAUUUUUUAGCCAAUUUAUAUUAUAGGUUGUUAUUAUCUAGUUGAUGCUGGAUACACAAAUUGUGAGGGAUUUCUUGCACCAUUUAGAGGACAGCGAUAUCAUCUGAACGAGUGGCGUCAGGGUUAUCAGCCAAGUUCUCCGCAAGAGUUUUUUAAUAUGAAACAUGCCUCAGUACGUAAUGUCAUUGAAAGAUGCUUUGGCUUAUUAAAACUUAGAUGGGGAAUACUUAGGAGUCCAUCGUUUUAUCCUGUACGGGUGCACAAUAGAAUUAUUAUUGCAUGUUGUUUGCUCCAUAAUUUUAUUCGAACCCAUAUGAGUAUUGAUCCCAUUGAAGCGGAGGUGGGAGAAGGAUUACCUACUAAUAUGGUGGAUGACGAUGAACCGAAUAUCACAAAUAUUCAUCCAUCGGAUGCUUGGGCAACUUGGAGGAUGGAACUAGCCAACCAAAUGUUCGAUGAAUGGCAAGCAUUUAGAAAUUAGUUAGGUUUAGGGACAAAUUCAGUUUGAAUUAAUUUGUUGAUGUUAUUUUAUGUAACUAGUUUAUGAAACUUUGGUGGUCUUUGAUUAAAAUUCUGUAUUGUACUAAACUUUGUUGAAUUAUAAUUUAAUUAUCUUUUCAUUCAGCAUGUGUUAUAAAUUUAAAUUUAGUAUUGAACUACCGAUAUAAUAUUAUAAACUGUUCACCCAACAAUUAAAUGAUAUUCAAAAUAGUAAAUAAUGUUACUUUAUUUUUUUUCUUAAGAACAAUAUGUCAGGUGUUCCACCAACGGGUGCUUCUUCUCAAGCUUCUCGAGGAAGCAAAAGAAAAUGGGUUCCAGAGGAGGAUGCAGCCUUGGUUUCUUGCAUGGUGGAUUUGCACAAUGUAGGAACAUUUAAUGCUGAUACUGGGUUCAAAGCCGGUUAUUUGAACGAGCUAGAGAAAAUGCUAGAAAAGGCUUUACCAAGAGCAAUGUUGAAGGCGAAACCAAAUAUUGAAUCUCGGAUUAGGUGCCUAAAAAGGGAAUGGUCAGUCGUCUACGACAUGCUUAAUGGCCAAAACAACAGUGGUUUUGGUUGGGACGAGCAUAGGCAGCUCGUUGUUGCUGAAGAUGCAGUUUGGGAAUCAUAUGUAAAGGUAAGUUGUGAAUCAAGUAUUUAUUUGUUUUUUUACAAAACUUAUAACUUAAAUGAUUUCCUCAUUUUUUUUAGAGUCACAAAGAAGCCUCUCAGUUCAGACAUCGUUCUUUCCCUUACUACAACCAGCUUACUGCGAUAUACGCAAGAGAUCGGGCGACUGGGAAAGACGCUCAAACAGCUGCUGAUGUUCUUGAAGAAAUACAUGAUGAGGAUGAACGUACUACAGAUAUGAAUGAAGAGAGAAACACAUUCUAUGACUACGAAGCUGACGUCUCUUUAGACGACAUGGAUGUUUCUGGUACAGAUCCGCGAGGAUAUAGAGACCAAGGGGGUUCCUCAUCUUCAAACAAGAGAAAGAAGAAAUCUGAUGCUCGUGAUAAUGUGUAUUCUUCAUUUGAGGAGGCUGCCACCUUGUUGGGGGAAAAAAUCGAGGCCAUUGGCGAUAAAAUCAGUAUGAGUAUUGCCUCCGAGGUGGUAGUUCAGCAGAAGUCAGAAGAAAAGAUGGAAGAGAAUGCUUCAAAUUUAUAUUCAGCCUUAUGGUCAAUUGAAGGUUUAACCGACGAUCAGCGGUAUGAUGCUUUGAGUAAAAUUCCCGAUCAUC